GCCGUGACUGAAGCCGGCCGGCUCCAGGAAGGCAGGAAGCCUCGCGCCGCCGCAUGCCCCGCGUCGGCACUGUGUGGCAGUGCGCUAGUGCAGCACCACCCUGACUCCUCCUACUUGAGCUUGCACAGCGAAGGUAAGAUCUAGGGUCUGUUUGCUCAAUUUCGAAUAUUCCGAUGAAUGCCAAUGCAUUGCAUUGGUCCUAAAUAUUGCACUGCAGUUUGCAUUUUGCAAGCGGUAGCAUGGUAUGGCUAGUGAGAUUUCUAGCCUUCACGUUUCUGGAUCCGCCAACUGAGCCAAGGCAUGGCACACGCUGUGAAAACAGAAUUACCACCAAGUUGGUUGGCUUGGCUCCAGUGACUGAUGAAUAUACAUUAAACAUGAGCAAGAAAGAGCUGAAAAGUCAUUAUUUCCCCAAAAUUAUAUACACACUUUCGGCUUAUAUUGGGAAUGUAAAGUAUACACCAUAAAGUUUGAAGCCUUGGAAUAGCCUAUCGCCUAAGCAUUUUUCUGAACAAUGCAGUAUCACGGCUGCAGACUUGAUGUGCCUACCACCCAUUUUGCCUCUUAUUAGCUCGCUAUUGCAGCAAAUGAAUGCUGAAGGUUUCCUUUUGUUCCUUUUUAGGGACAGGUUUCCCUCUGUUCCGCUUGAAGGGCAGCAAUUUGACCAGAAAAAUAGAAGCUGCCCCAAAG
This 690-nucleotide long non-coding RNA is filed under the name Sorghum bicolor (sorghum). RNAcentral describes it as "long non-coding RNA (SBIC_LNC016891)". Lineage: Eukaryota; Viridiplantae; Streptophyta; Magnoliopsida; Poales; Poaceae. The record is from RNAcentral.